RNAcentral lists this ribosomal RNA (489 nucleotides) under uncultured bacterium. RNAcentral's name for it is "partial 16S ribosomal RNA". It matches the Rfam family "Bacterial small subunit ribosomal RNA", at positions 30 to 506 of the family's 1533-position model. The record is from RNAcentral.
AUUGAACGCUGGCGGCAGGCCUAACACAUGCAAGUCGAACGGUAACAGGAAGCAGCUUGCUGCUUCGCUGACGAGUGGCGGACGGGUGAGUAAUGUCUGGGAAACUGCCUGAUGGAGGGGGAUAACUACUGGAAACGGUAGCUAAUACCGCAUAACGUCGCAAGACCAAAGAGGGGGACCUUAGGGCCUCUUGCCAUCGGAUGUGCCCAGAUGGGAUUAGCUAGUAGGUGGGGUAACGGCUCACCUAGGCGACGAUCCCUAGCUGGUCUGAGAGGAUGACCAGCCACACUGGAACUGAGACACGGUCCAGACUCCUACGGGAGGCAGCAGUGGGGAAUAUUGCACAAUGGGCGCAAGCCUGAUGCAGCCAUGCCGCGUGUAUGAAGAAGGCCUUCGGGUUGUAAAGUACUUUCAGCGGGGAGGAAGGGAGUAAAGUUAAUACCUUUGCUCAUUGACGUUACCCGCAGAAGAAGCACCGGCUAACUCCGU